UGGAUGGUUCUAGAGAUUUCUUUGCUGCACCAAAUGGGCUUUGGCAAGAAAGUUCUAAUGGAGCCAAACGCAUGUCUGGUUUUCACAAUGCUCCUGAUAGCUCGGGUGAUUUCUGUGCUGCUUCAAAUGGGCUUUGGCAGGAAAAUUCUGAGGGAGCCAAAUAUGCAUCUGGGUUUCACCAUGCUCCUCAUAAUUCUAGUAGUUUCUUUGAUGCAUCAAAUGUGCUUUGGCAGGAAUCUGAGGGAACCAAAAACACAUCUGGGUUUCACAAUGCUCCUGAUAAUUCUAGUGGUUUCUUUGAUGCUUCAAAUGGGCUUUGGCAAGAAUCUAGGGGAUCUGGGUUUCACAUUGCCUCUGGUAAUUCUAGGGAUUUGUUUGAUGCAUCAAAAGGGCUUUGGCAGGAACCUGAGGGAGCCAAACACGUAAGUGGGUCUCACAAUGGUCCAGAUAGUUCUAGUGAUUUCUUUGAUGCAUCAAAUGAGCUUUGGCAGGAAAAUCCUGAGGCAUCAAAACAAGUAUCUGGGCUUCACAAUGCUCCAGAUAAUUCUGGUGUUUUAUUUGCUGCAUCGACUGAACUUUGGCAGGAAAAUUCUGGAGGAGAAAAU
This 605-nucleotide long non-coding RNA is filed under the name Vitis vinifera (wine grape). RNAcentral's name for it is "long non-coding RNA (VVIN_LNC004460)". Lineage: Eukaryota; Viridiplantae; Streptophyta; Magnoliopsida; Vitales; Vitaceae. The record is from RNAcentral.